This 253-nucleotide ribosomal RNA is filed under the name uncultured bacterium. RNAcentral describes it as "partial 16S ribosomal RNA". It matches the Rfam family "Bacterial small subunit ribosomal RNA", at positions 524 to 776 of the family's 1533-position model. The record is from RNAcentral.
CACGUAAGGGGCGAGCGUUGUUCGGAAUUAUUGGGCGUAAAGGGCGCGUAGGCGGUUUGUCAAGUCUGGUGUGAAAGACCACAGCUCAACUGUGGGGGCGCACUGGAAACUGUCAGACUAGAGUAUAGGAGGGGAAGCUGGAAUUCCUGGUGUAGGGGUGAAAUCUGUAGAUAUCAGGAAGAACACCGGUGGCGAAGGCGAGCUUCUGGCCAUAUACUGACGCUGAGGCGCGAAAGCGUGGGGAGCGAACAGG